Molecule: ribosomal RNA, 747 nt
Filed under: uncultured cyanobacterium
Lineage: Bacteria; Bacillati; Cyanobacteriota
Description: bacterial SSU rRNA
Rfam family: Bacterial small subunit ribosomal RNA
Source: RNAcentral
AGAGUUUGAUCAUGGCUCAGGAUGAACGCUGGCGGUCUGCUUAACACAUGCAAGUCGAACGAAGUUUUUCGGAACUUAGUGGCGGACGGGUGAGUAACGCGUGAGAAUCUGCCUUAAGGAUUGGGACAACAGUGGGAAACCGCUGCUAAUACCAAAUAUGCCUUUUAGUGAAACGGGUAAAACCGCCUUAAGAUGAGCUCGCGUCUGAUUAGCUAGUUGGUGUGGUAAGAGCGCACCAAGGCAACGAUCAGUAGCUGGUCUGAGAGGACGACCAGCCACACUGGGACUGAGACACGGCCCAGACUCCUACGGGAGGCAGCAGUGAGGAAUUUUCCGCAAUGGGCGAAAGCCUGACGGAGCAAUACCGCGUGAGGGAGGAAGGUUCUUGGAUUGUAAACCUCUUUUCUCAGAGAAGAAUAAUGACGGUAUCUGAGGAAUAAGCAUCGGCUAACUCCGUGCCAGCAGCCGCGGUAAUACGGAGGAUGCAAGCGUUAUCCGGAAUGAUUGGGCGUAAAGGGUCUGUAGGUGGUUGUUCAAGUCUGCUGUUAAAGCGUCUGGCUUAACCAGAUAAAGGCGGUGGAAACUGAACGACUAGAGUGCGGUAGGGGUAGAGGGAAUUCCCAGUGUAGCGGUGAAAUGCGUAGAUCUUGGGAAGAACACCUGUGGCGAAAGCGCUCUACUGGACCGCGACUGACACUGAUGGACGAAAGCUAGGGGAGCGAAUGGGAUUAGAUACCCCCGUAGUCC